AUCUGGCUGAGGAGGUAGGAAAUAAAGCAGAGACCCCUCCUUUUAAGGCAAGUAUGGGGUAGUACGUUAGGGUAGGACCUUCUUUUUCCUAAGGCUCAGCCAGAACGUCUUGCUAUUUUUAGAGGACCGGCCAGUUCUGAAUAUUGAUUCAGUCAUGGGCAUGUGUCCCAUUUUAACUUCCCAGGGGCAGCCAGGAACAAGGCCAGCUUCGAAAGCCCAUCUUCUCUCCCUGCAGGCAUCCUGCCACCUUUCUCAGAAGAGGUGAGUAUUGGUGGCAUUUUGCCGUCACUGUUGUCCUUGCCCUGCCUCUCAUCAGAGCUGGAGAGCUGGAGCAGGCACUUCUGGGGAGGAUGGGGCAAAGCGUGGAGAGGGAGCCAACAUCAUACUAAGCUGUUUACCAUGUCGCUUCCAGCAAUUCUGUGGAGCAUGUCUUACUACACAGGAUGAAAUGGUCUCCAGCAGGUUAAGUACUGUGGAGGCAUAGAGUGCUUAAGAAACUCACCCAAAUCACACAGCUAGUAAAUGGCUGGCCUACGACUUGACCUCUCCAACCCAAAACACACCUUCAUUCAGAUAUGCCGUAUUUCGCAAACCUUGCCUGAUCCUUGGUGCUCCAGAGGCACUUUUUAAAACUCCCAUUCUUACACCCCACUCCAGAGCCAGGGAAUCAGAAUCUCCAGGAGAAGGGCUGGGUGUCCAUAUUUUUAACAAGCACGCCCACGGUGAUUUCAACGCUCAGUAAAUUUGAGAAAGAACAGCUCUAGGAGAGUUGCUUUUUGAACUUGAGUGAACAUCUGAAUCACAAGGGAGCUGUUAAAAUGCAGAUUAUUCUGAUUUGCUCUUAAAGGUGCUGAAAUAAGCCAUCUGGACCGGGACCCAGGAAUCUGCCUUUUUGCAACCACUCCUGAUUUGUUCUGUUGCAAGUGGGACUUUGAAAAACAUUGAUCUAAUGAUAAACAAGAAAGAGAGACACAGAUACUGAAGUAAUGAAAUCAUCAAUACUGGAAAGGACUCAUCUUACAACAGUCUAAGGGAAAUGACUUAGUUUGGAGUAAAGGAAGAAUUUCUUCAAACAUGGUAACAAAUGUUUAGACCCAGAACGGGGGAUCCCUCUCCACAACACGAAUAUUUAACAUAUUAACAACAGAAAGGGGAGCGGGUACUACUGUCCACACUGGACCACUGACAUCUUAUCUUUCCAAUGUUCUCUAUGCUCAGCUUCCACCUGGAAUGUUCUUUUCUCUUUGCCCAUCUUCACCAUUACUCCCUCUUUAAGGCUCAGCUCAAAAGACUUUCUCCAUAAAAUUUUCUUCCAGUUGUCUAGUUCCUGUUAUUGCACAUGUACUUGGGCACUUACCACAUCUCACCUAGCGGUCUGAUUCCUUGUGUCCCUGUAACGCGUGCAUCUCCUCUCAUAUGGGCUGGCAUCCUGACUGCCUCAUUUUUGAUUUCCCACACCACCCAGUGAAGGCCUUUGCUCAGUAAGGGUGGAGCAGAUAAAACUACCACCACCACACUUAGAGAGCACUUACUGUGUGCAGGCACUGUUCUCAGUGCUGUAACAAGUAACUUACAUUAUAAUAAUUCAUAUUUUAUGGAUGAAGGACACAGGCAGUGACGGAGAGGUUGUUCUUUGUGGAAGGGUCUCCUUUAGAAGCUAUAGCCCUGUAGGUGACCAGAGUCGCACCUGUAAGGAGAUCCGAGCUCUGUGGAUUCUGGAAAUAAAAAAUCUUAACCUUUGAAUUUAGUCUACCAGAGGCACCUGGAGGGCCAGGUAACACACAGAUUGCCAUCUCUGACCCCUAGAGUUUCUGAGUCAGUAGGUCUGAGUUGGGUCUGAGAAUAUGCAUCUCUAACAAUUUCCCAGGUGAUGCUGAUGCUGUUGGUCUGGGGACUGCACUUCGAGAACCACUGUUCUAGUGCAAUGUUUCUGACACUCAACAGUUCAGGGCAAGGAAUGGGACUCUUACAUUCUGACCUUCCUAAAAAUGAGAAGGUGAAGAAGAAGAGUAAAGCCACACAGAAGUCAGGAAGGUGUGACCCCUCUUCAAGAGUGUGGUUGUAGGAGCUUUCACCAAUGAGGGUGCAGACAGAUGGUCAACACUACGAAGAGAGGGGAAGCCCGUCUGUGAAGUUACCAAGGGUUCUCACUUAACGGCUUGUAAAUAACUGGGCCCAUCCCUUCACCUCCCAGUUCUUACCAAUAAAACUUAAGUGGAGUUUGGAGAAGAAUGGAUAAAAAAUGAGGUGAAUGUUUUUCUUGAGAAGACAGCCCAACAGAGGGUCCACUGACUCAUACGACCUCAUAUUGUAUUCGUGAAGAGAUCAUAAUGAUAAUACAACGUAAUAUAACGUAAUAAUACAGAAUGAUGAUAAAGCUCUUUAGCUCCAAAAUUUCUUAAGUUUUUUUUAAGUGCGCCUGUUAAGUUGAGUGAGCAUUAAGAAUUGCUUAAGGUCCAGGGGACAAAUAGGAGAAUCUGGUACUUGUCCUAGUUUUCCAAAGAAACACAUUGCUGAGGGACUGAGUUUCUUAGUUUUUGAAAACGAGGUAACACUUCACAUUGUCUUAGUGGGGACAUCUGUGAGGUCAUCCAAAACCUACUCCCAUUCAACGAUUGAUAUUGGAGAUAAAUUACUUAUCAGAAAUAAAUUCCUUUGAGUUACUUUGAAGAAAAUUUCAACAUACAUUCAAAAUAUUUUACCAAGGCACUGAAAGGGCAAGCAGCAAGUUCAAGGUCAUGCGCUGUCAAACUCUCAUCCAUCACUCCUAAAAUCUUAGCUCUUCUUUAGGUAAUUGAACAGCCCCUAGGGUGAUUGUGCGUGAUCUCCCCCUUUGAGCUUUCCUUAUCCCUCUGUCUUCCAUGCCCACCCUCCUCCCCCCGCCUGCCUUUGCUUUAAGCCCCAGCACACAGAAACGAGUCUGCUGUCAGUACCAGCCGACAAGUCAUUCCCAUGCACCAAUAACGUGGGCAGGGGCGAUCUCUCUCAUUCAUUUCCCCUCGCCUCGCUCUGCCUGAGGGAUCUGGAUUCUAGCAGUCCUCCCCCGCCGGUGUGAGAUGCAGAACGUGGAGCUUCACCUGCCCCUAUAGAUGCUGCCGUGCUGGCUCCAGAUGACAGAAGCAGAUCGCCUGCAGGGCUUCCCAAAAAUUCACAAAGAAAGAAAGACAGAUGGGCCAGGCAGGAACGCCCAGAGGACAAUUAGAGGAGAAAGAAGCCCGCGGGAGCAGCUCGAUAUGAAUGCUGAGAGCACUUGUUUGCACAAAUAAGAAGGUGGAAAUGGAAGGAAUUUUAUGAUGGCAAUUUCUCAAAAUUCUUUGAUCAACAGCUAAGAAGUGGAACUACAUGACUUGCAGAAGAAUUUGUCACCCAGUUCUGAGAGCAUUUUAUUGGGAGAGGCAAUCUGCCAUGGACCCUGAGUUUCCCUGCAUAUCCUUGCUGACUAUGCCAAGAAGACAAGGCUCUGGCUGCUUUUUAUCUGGGCCAUUUCUCAGGGCAGUGAGCUACCUUGAGAUGAGGUAGCAUUUCUACCCAGUCAAAGAGCAAGCUUGCUUCUGCUUGCUAUAAAAGUGUUGAAUCCCCCAAGCUCAGUGUGAUACAAAUCCACAGUGUAGACAGCAUGCAUCUAAGUCCAUCCAUCUUCUUGUGUUGCCCCCAUGGGACUUGAAUGACAUAGGAAACCAAUUCGAACAAUCAUCAUGCCAGGCUUCUUGCUGUGCCAAGAGUAAUAAAGGCCAUAGUCUCUGACCCACAAGUUUCAUGUCUUUUCCACCAUCCAUGAAACCUUAACAGACUAGUUUAUUAGCUUUUAAGUAGGAUAAAAUCCCAGAUCCCUCACAGACCCUGACAUAGUUAUGUUUUUAAUUUCUGGGGAGAAAACCAAGAAGGUAGUACCAUGACUCAUUAAAUGACUGUUAAUUGUAGCAGUUACUCUUCCACGUGGAGCUAUCUUGUUUACUAUAAUGCAAUCAAAGUGUUAGAAAAACCUAAAUAUUAUUAAUUUCAAUGCAUGCUUGUCAAUAUGAUAUUUUUGAAAAACACUUUGAAAAUCUCAUCAUGUACUUUAAAU
Equus caballus (horse) is the source of this 4066-nucleotide long non-coding RNA. RefSeq lists it as uncharacterized. The record is from RefSeq and is a predicted model, not a curated record. NCBI's taxonomy places the organism in Eukaryota, Metazoa, Chordata, Mammalia, Perissodactyla, Equidae.